UCGCCUCUUGCUCCCCCCAUAAGAGGUCCAGCCUGCCCAGUGACUUAGUUCAACGGCCGCGGUACCCUAACCGUGCGAAGGUAGCGUAAUCACUUGUCUUCCAAAUAGAGACUAGUAUGAAAGGCAUCACGAGAAUUUAACUGUCUCCUUUUUCCAAUCAGUGAAACUAAUCUUCCCGUGAAGAAGCGGGAAUCCGAAAAUAAGACGAGAAGACCCUAUGGAGCUUUAAACACUAACCACCUGCCCAACCCUAUAAAACCCCGGUUCCUAAACCAACGCACCAUGACUACGUGUUUUUGAUUGGGGCGACCACGGAAAAUAAUCAAACCUCCGUAAUGAAAACCUACAAGCCACAGCUUUAAGUAUCAACAAAUUGACAUCCAUUGACCCAAUAUAUUGACUAAUGAACCAA
RNAcentral lists this ribosomal RNA (412 nucleotides) under Pristimantis chiastonotus group sp. ABGD cluster 88. Its description in RNAcentral is "partial large subunit ribosomal RNA". It matches the Rfam family "Bacterial large subunit ribosomal RNA", at positions 1816 to 2460 of the family's 2925-position model. The record is from RNAcentral. Lineage: Eukaryota; Metazoa; Chordata; Amphibia; Anura; Strabomantidae.